UUGGCAAAUGCUUUCGCGGUAGCUAGUCAUUAACAAAUCUAGGAAUUUCACCACUAGCUAUUAAGUACUGAUGCCCUCAUUCAUUCUUACAGUAUAUCCCC
This 101-nucleotide ribosomal RNA is filed under the name uncultured apicomplexan. RNAcentral describes it as "partial 18S ribosomal RNA". The record is from RNAcentral. Lineage: Eukaryota; Apicomplexa.